This 464-nucleotide ribosomal RNA is filed under the name Dysdera curvisetae. RNAcentral describes it as "partial 16S ribosomal RNA". It matches the Rfam family "Bacterial large subunit ribosomal RNA", at positions 1934 to 2706 of the family's 2925-position model. The record is from RNAcentral. Lineage: Eukaryota; Metazoa; Arthropoda; Arachnida; Araneae; Dysderidae.
CAGAAUUUUAUACUGUGCUAAGGUAGCAUAAUCACUUGUCUUUUAAUUAAAGAAUAGAAUGAACGGAAAAACGAAUUUUAAACCUGUUUCAUUAAUUUUUAAUAAAAUUACCAAAAAGUAAAAACACUUUUUUACAAAAAAAAGACGAUAAGACCCUAAAGAACUUCACUAAAGUUAAGCUGGGGCGGCUUAAUUAAAAAAAUCUUAUUUUAACACUUUUAAACCUUACUAAAUUUUCAACGUUACCUUAGGGAUAACAGCGUAAUUUAAUUUUUAAGCUCUUAUUCAAAAUUAAGAUUACGACCUCGAUGUUGAAUUAAAAAUCUAUUAAACGAAAAAAAUUAAUAAGAAAGUCUGUUCGACUUUUAAUUAUUUACAUGAUUUGAGUUCAGACCGGUGUAAACCAGGUCGGUUUCUAUCUUUUUUAAAUUUUUAUUAGUACGAAAGGACCAUAAAAUCUAUUU